GCUAGAAAGGCGAGGCCGGCGGCUGACCGCUGAGCUGUGACCCUUCAGAUCUGGAUCUCGCCACCGGCUGGGACGUGAAGAGUCGGAGGCAGUUGUAGCAUUUGGAAACGAGUUCGUCCCCGAAGGGCGUAGGAGAAUUGUUUCCUCAGCUCGAAAUUUGGAAAAUCGCAGGCAUUUCUUAGGAGAUGCAGAUUUUAGAGACGGGAGUGUACUAGAGUGACAAAGCCAGAGUGAGAGACGCACACGACACCUGCAGUAGGGUCCUGACAGUGCUAUCCACCACCACCCUCCAAUCAGCCCGCAUCAUGGUAACCCGAGUGCCAGGCUUGGAAGAUUUCCACAGGAAUUGAUUCAACACAAUUGGAGAAAAACCCAGGAACCUAUGGCUUCGACAAGCACCCUAAGUAACUCUAGUCCAUGCA
Long non-coding RNA from Tupaia belangeri chinensis (Chinese tree shrew), 422 nucleotides. RefSeq lists it as uncharacterized. Lineage: Eukaryota; Metazoa; Chordata; Mammalia; Scandentia; Tupaiidae. The transcript has 3 exons. The record is from RefSeq and is a predicted model, not a curated record.